RNAcentral lists this ribosomal RNA (201 nucleotides) under uncultured bacterium. Its description in RNAcentral is "partial 16S ribosomal RNA". It matches the Rfam family "Bacterial small subunit ribosomal RNA", at positions 328 to 539 of the family's 1533-position model. The record is from RNAcentral.
ACGCUCGACACCUACCGGAGGCAGCAGUGGGGAAUAUUGGGCAAUGGGCGCAAGCCUGACCCAGCAACGCCGCGUGAAGGAAGAAGGCCCUCGGGUUGUAAACUUCUUUUAACAGGGACGAAGCAAGUGACGGUACCUGUUGAAUAAGCCACGGCUAACUACGUGCCAACAGCCGCGGUAAUCUGAGCGGGCUGGCAAGGC